AGAAACACCAGUUCCCGUACUAUCACCAAAGUUAAUCAAUGUCAAGCCUGGCCAGUACCUAAAUCGGUGACUGCUUGGGAAUAUCAGGUGCUGUAAGC
Non-coding RNA from Acanthosepion pharaonis, 98 nucleotides. The record is from the annotation of a GenBank genome assembly. NCBI's taxonomy places the organism in Eukaryota, Metazoa, Mollusca, Cephalopoda, Sepiida, Sepiidae.